Molecule: non-coding RNA, 93 nt
Organism: Pelobates cultripes (western spadefoot toad)
Lineage: Eukaryota; Metazoa; Chordata; Amphibia; Anura; Pelobatidae
Source: the annotation of a GenBank genome assembly
AGGUAAAACACAUUCUUCUUUAUAGUUUUAAAGAGUCUUUCUAUCUUUGAGUGUAAGACUCUUUUAAACUAUAAAGAAGAAUGUGUUUUACCU